AUGGGAGAAUUGGGAUCAUGGGCAAGCGAUGAUGAGCUAGUCAAGAUGGAGGCCGGAUAUCUUCCUCACCGCUGCAGGGAUGACUCAUUUGAAGAUAGCGAGACAAGUGAGCUUCUAAUUUCAAAGCUUUCCAGUCUUGUUGGGGAAAUCUAUCGCGAUUUACCAGAAAAUUUGCAGAAGAAGUUAGGUGAUGAAGUAAGAAGGGCCACAGAACAACCAGCAGAUAACAGUGGACAGGCAAAGGGAUGGAUGUGGGGUACGUUCCUCUCAUCAGUGUGCGUCUCACUGGCCUCUCAUUUGGCCAUGUUCUUGAUGUCUGCUCUGUGGCCCAGGAGCGAGAGUGUCAAAGAAGAACCAGCUGUCAGCUCGCCAGCUCCAAGUGCAACAGAAAAGAACAUUUUUCUUCGUUGGGGGGUUGAAAAAGUCAUAGGUCCUUUUCUUAUAUGUGUCGCUCUGACAGUCAUUAGGAAGUUUAUCAUCAGCAAGGAGAUUUGGAAGAAAAGCUACAAAGCAAAUGAGAUGGUUAAUUUGUGGAUCAAUACCUUCGCAAAAGGGACGUUCUUCGCUGUAAAAGAAUUUCCAGUAACGCGUGGUGGGUUAGAACUGUGGGCUCAUUUAGCCUCAUUUGCUAUUGAGCUUCUUGGGGCCACAUGGCUGUUAUGGAGGUUUGGGUUCUGGGAGUCCGAUGUUGUGGACAGUUGA
This 702-nucleotide ribosomal RNA is filed under the name Triticum aestivum (bread wheat). RNAcentral's name for it is "partial small subunit ribosomal RNA". The record is from RNAcentral. Lineage: Eukaryota; Viridiplantae; Streptophyta; Magnoliopsida; Poales; Poaceae.